RNAcentral lists this ribosomal RNA (443 nucleotides) under uncultured bacterium. RNAcentral describes it as "partial 16S ribosomal RNA". It matches the Rfam family "Bacterial small subunit ribosomal RNA", at positions 338 to 795 of the family's 1533-position model. The record is from RNAcentral.
CCUACGGGCGGCAGCAGUGGGGAAUAUUGGACAAUGGGGGGAACCCUGAUCCAGCGACGCCGCGUGAGUGCAGAAGUAUUUCGGUAUGUAAAGCUCUAUCAGCAGGGAAGAAAGAAAUGACGGUACCUGACUAAGAAGCCCCGGCUAACUACGUGCCAGCAGCCGCGGUAAUACGUAGGGGGCAAGCGUUAUCCGGAUUUACUGGGUGUAAAGGGAGCGUAGACGGCGAUGCAAGUCUGAAGUGAAAGGCGGGGGCCCAACCCCUGGACUGCUUUUGAAACUGUAUGGCUGGAGUGCAGGGGAGGGUAGUGGAAGUCCUAGUGUAGCGGUGAAAUGCGUAGAUAUUAGGAGGAACACCAGUGGCGAAGGCGGCUUACUGGACUGUAACUGACGUUGAGGCUCGAAAGCGUGGGGAGCAAACAGGAUUAGAUACCCUUGUAGUC